RNAcentral lists this transfer RNA (64 nucleotides) under Trimusculus reticulatus. RNAcentral's name for it is "tRNA-Met". The record is from RNAcentral. Lineage: Eukaryota; Metazoa; Mollusca; Gastropoda; Ellobiida; Trimusculidae.
UCUAGGGUAAGCUAAAUUUUAAGCUGUUGGGCUCAUAACCCAAAAAUGGCCUUGCCCCCUUGAA